GGAGAUGGGAGAUCAGUCUUAAAUCCAUCUCCCUGGCCACUAAAAUUAGGGGUUUAUGUAGCAGGGAAGAUGUGUAAUAAUGUGUAAGAAAGCAGGAACUAGGGAGGGGCAAGGAAGCAAUCAUGAUGAAUGAGGGCCUGGCAUCUCAUUGUCUGGAUAUGAUUAGCUGAAGAAACUGUUAGAGCACCCUGGGAUGUGUGGGCCUGGGACUGUUUGCCUUUGGCACGGCUAUGCUCCGAGCUUUGGAGGAGCCAAGGAAGAAAGGCCUAGUUCCUGAUCUUAAGGCCUUUGCAGUGUGCAUUGGGAGACAUAGACUGCAAUGAAAAGAUCAUUAUUGCAAGAGACAAAUGGCAUGGAGCCACAUUCCCAGAGACAGAGUUUCACCAUGUUGCCCAGGCUGGUCUCAAACUCCUGAGCUCAAACCAUCACCCACCUCGGCUUCCCAAAGUGCUGGGAUUACAGGCGUGAGCCACCACAUCUGACCGCGGGAGUCCUUUUACCCAAAGCCACCCAACAGACCCACGCAGAGACUUUUAACCAGCAAUCGUCUCAGUUCCCUCUGAGGCUGCCGGCUCUCCCUGUGACAGCAGCCCAUCUUAGCCCUUCCUGUGUAUCUCUGCUGCCUAAAGGAUGAGAGUUUCCUAAAGUGUAGAACUGUGAGGGGUGGAGGGACAUUCCUCUCAUGCUGGCCUGAAUCCUGCACCUACUCUGGAGGUCUUUUGCCUUGUACCAUGGAGUUCGCCUACAUCACCUUGGAGAACCGACCCAGCACCUUCCAGGCCGGCUGGAUGCAUCCCCAGGAAGGAAGCCGCUGGUGGGGCCGGUCGCACUGAGUGCGCUUGGAGAACAAAGUGCUGUGUACAUUUCUGCUCAACACUACUCUAAGCCCACAGCGCCAGUUCAGAGGCUUUGGGAAGAGCAGGUGCCUUCAUCCAGUUUCCACUGUACCUCUUCUGAGGUACAGGAGAUAGAGGUCCCUCAUUUCAAGGUGACACUGGCAUCAGUCAAGCACAGAGCUAACCAACUGCCAAUCGUAAACAAGGAAGCCAGUGAGGACGCCCAAGGAAAGGCUCAGAAAGCUUCCGCCAGGGAGUGGGAUUUGAGCUCUACCUUACAGAACAGGUUGAAAAUAAAGAGCAGAGUAAUCAAAA
This 1151-nucleotide long non-coding RNA is filed under the name Homo sapiens (human). RNAcentral describes it as "IRF2 divergent transcript". Lineage: Eukaryota; Metazoa; Chordata; Mammalia; Primates; Hominidae. The record is from RNAcentral.